UUCCCCUUCUCAGCGCAUGAAAAAGACAAGUAGCAAUCUAGCGACUUCACGCGUGAAAUAGCGCCGGGGCUCAAGACGUCGACGCGUGUCGCCAAGCGCCCCUCGUCACCCUCUCGAUAGUACGCUCGCAUGGCAGAGCAUGAUUGCUUUUCAGUUUUGCCAGCACUAUUUCUGUCCUUUGGGCAUAAGAUCAAGCCACGUAAUGUUGCAAGGACAAUUAGAGUUGUUCCUAGCCGUGGAUUUCCCCUUUUCCCCUUUUUCUGAAUAAGGUUGAAGGUUCAGAAAAAGUUUGUUCUUCCAAAUUGGUGAAACUUUUUUUUUUUUGGAAUUUUGAAAGGGAGAAAUCCAAAAUGGGUCUGGAUUUUGGACACGUAUCCGCCCCAACUUUCAAGAAAAUUGUAAUCCUAAUCCAUCGCUAUAUAAGGUCUCUUUCUAUUCUAUCAAAGGGGUGAUUUUUGGAGUUGAAGGCAGAGAAGAGGGAGAUACCAAAACAAAAGAGAAAUAUUUUUCACAAAGUGGUUUAGUGAGGAGAAAUUCUUUUUUACAAGUUUCAAAGUCGUGUAAACAAAUAUAAAACAAGAUAUACAGGCAUAAAUACUUCUAAAUAUUCUGUUUGGUGUCAAAGAUCUUGCUUAGAGUUAUCUUCUAUUGAUUCACGUUCUGAAUUCCAUAGUGAAAAUAAGCUCACUGAUCGUCGUUUUCCCAGUAGCCGCCUAGAACAAGGUCCCUGAAAUUGAGGAAUACGGAGCCAUUGAAGAGUUGAAGUUUUGUGGCCAAAAGUCGAUAUUUUGUAUUUAUUUUAUGUUGUAUUUUUUUAAUUUUAGGCCUAAGGCCUUGUAAGUUUACUUAUUUUUAUUUUGUUAGAACUUAGGACAAGUACAGGUGAAGUGGGUCAAAAAUUCAAUAAAUGGGUCCAAAUAUCGUUCCAGGCGUA
Long non-coding RNA from Solanum lycopersicum (tomato), 934 nucleotides. RefSeq lists it as uncharacterized. The record is from RefSeq and is a predicted model, not a curated record. NCBI's taxonomy places the organism in Eukaryota, Viridiplantae, Streptophyta, Magnoliopsida, Solanales, Solanaceae.